Molecule: small nuclear RNA, 18 nt
Filed under: Arabidopsis thaliana (thale cress)
Lineage: Eukaryota; Viridiplantae; Streptophyta; Magnoliopsida; Brassicales; Brassicaceae
Description: snRNA_14775
Source: RNAcentral
AAGUGGCAGAGUGGCCUU